AAUAUAGAUGGGGAUGGAGUCCCCCGAUACCCGCCCGUCGUGGGCUGAUGACUCCUGCUGGGAU
Non-coding RNA from Bradyrhizobium elkanii, 64 nucleotides. NCBI's taxonomy places the organism in Bacteria, Pseudomonadati, Pseudomonadota, Alphaproteobacteria, Hyphomicrobiales, Nitrobacteraceae. The record is from Rfam.